GCAGCCGCGGUAAUACGAAGGGGGCUAGCGUUGUUCGGAAUCACUGGGCGUAAAGCGCACGUAGGCGGAUGUGUCAGUCAGGGGUGAAAUCCCGGAGCUCAACUCCAGAAUUGCCUUUGAAACGGGAUUGCUAGAGUCCGAGAGAGGAUGGCGGAAUUCCUAGUGUAGAGGUGAAAUUCGUAGAUAUUAGGAAGAACACCGGUGGCGAAGGCGGCCAUCUGGCUCGGUACUGACGCUCAGGCGCGAAAGCGUGGGGAGCAAA
RNAcentral lists this ribosomal RNA (262 nucleotides) under uncultured bacterium. RNAcentral describes it as "partial 16S ribosomal RNA". It matches the Rfam family "Bacterial small subunit ribosomal RNA", at positions 511 to 772 of the family's 1533-position model. The record is from RNAcentral.